RNAcentral lists this long non-coding RNA (1250 nucleotides) under Salarias fasciatus (jewelled blenny). RNAcentral describes it as "lncRNA (ENSSFAG00005015533.1)". Lineage: Eukaryota; Metazoa; Chordata; Actinopteri; Blenniiformes; Blenniidae. The record is from RNAcentral.
UUUACUCCUGGCUCCACUGUGAUGGGUGACCUGCAUGUGUCUGAAGGUCAGCUCAUCGAUGCCGGUGUGUUCUACACACUGAGGAACGGCCUGCACACCAUCUUCAGUCAGUACAGCAUGUGUAUGCUGACGUUAGGCAGCAACACGACCGCCGUCAUCAGUGAGAAUGGACGGUUUGCUGUGGUGGACAGCCAUUCACGUAGUCGUGUUGGCUUGUUGCACCACAGCGGCAGCAGCGUGCUUCUGCAGUUUGCGUGUCUGGACGACCUGCACCACUACAUCCGACGGUUGGCCGACAGCCUGAUUUCAGGCCAGCAGCUCUUUGAGCUGUGUGGCAUUACUGUGGGUGGGGGUGCAGGUCCAGCGCCGUCUGGUGUUCCUCUGGAGAGUCACGUCUCUGAGACGAGUUCUGCUCCAGCACCAGAGUCCCCUGAGGACACUGAGAGCAGAACACCGGCUGAGGCUCAUACAGGCUCUUGUGUGUCUGAGAGUGGUGUUGGUGUUGCUGCCAGUCCGGCGCUGUCUCGUAUUUCUGCAGAGAGUCGUGUGUGUGAGAAGAGUGUUGUCGUGCCGGUGGAGAGAUCACAGAUUGUCGGAGCCAAGUCUGCUGUGUUUCCGAGGUCAGAGCCCGUUAAGUCAAGUGUUUUGAGUGUAGCUGGUCCAGCAGCAGUGGUUGAUGUGAGGACAGGGAUCAGGCUGCUGAAGGUUGUCCAGGGAUCCUUCCAUCAGGGCAGCUCCAGGUUUAGCAAUGGGGGGGUGCAGUGCAUGGCGAUAGCUGCUUUCAGCUUAGCCAGACACACGUUGAACAGUGUGUUCUCGUGGGGGAGGCAGGAGCUUGAUGACGUGUUGGUCUUGGGUGAUGCUUUCUUCACCUGGGUGAUGGGCCGCCCUGGCUUCAGGCCUUGGUCGUCUUUUCUGUCCGUGACUGAACUGCCAACGCAGAUCCAGGUGGAUGAGCAGGUGCUGGAGUUCACUCAUGGCACCACUGUGAUGGGUGACCUUCAUGUGUCUGAAGGUCACCUCAUCGAUGCCGGUGUCUUCUACACGCUGAGGAACGGCCUGCUCACCAUCUUCAGUCAGUACAGCAUGUGUCUCCUGACCAUGUGUGCCAACACGACCGCCAUCAUCAGUGAGAAUGGACGGUUUGCUGUGGUGGACAGCCAUCCACGUAGUCGUGUUGGCUUGUUGCACCACAGCGGCAGCAGCGUGCUUCUGCAGUUUGCGUGUCUGGACGACCUGCACCACUACAU